RNAcentral lists this ribosomal RNA (254 nucleotides) under uncultured bacterium. RNAcentral describes it as "partial 16S ribosomal RNA". It matches the Rfam family "Bacterial small subunit ribosomal RNA", at positions 524 to 776 of the family's 1533-position model. The record is from RNAcentral.
CACGUAGGGUGCGAGCGUUGUCCGGAAUUAUUGGGCGUAAAGAGCUCGUAGGCGGCUUGUCGCGUCAACUGUGAAAACCCGUGGCUCAACCAUGUGGUCUGCAGUCGAUACGGGCAGGCUAGAAUUCGGUAGGGGAGACUGGAAUUCCUGGUGUAGCGGUGAAAUGCGCAGAUAUCAGGAGGAACACCGGUGGCGAAGGCGGGUCUCUGGGCCGAUAUUGACGCUGAGGAGCGAAAGCGUGGGGAGCGAACAGG